GGAUCCAGACUUUGAUCAUGGCUCAGGAUGAACGCUAGCUACAGGCUUAACACAUGCAAGUCGAGGGGCAGCGGGAUUGAAGCUUGCUUCAAUUGCCGGCGACCGGCGCACGGGUGAGUAACGCGUAUCCAACCUUCCGUACACUCAGGGAUAGCCUUUCGAAAGAAAGAUUAAUACCUGAUGGUAUGAUGAGAUUGCAUGAUAGCAUCAUUAAAGAUUUAUCGGUGUACGAUGGGGAUGCGUUCCAUUAGGUAGUAGGCGGGGUAACGGCCCACCUAGCCAACGAUGGAUAGGGGUUCUGAGAGGAAGGUCCCCCACAUUGGAACUGAGACACGGUCCAAACUCCUACGGGAGGCAGCAGUGAGGAAUAUUGGUCAAUGGACGAGAGUCUGAACCAGCCAAGUAGCGUGAAGGAUGAAGGUCCUACGGAUUGUAAACUUCUUUUAUAAGGGAAUAAACCCUCCCACGUGUGGGAGCUUGUAUGUACCUUAUGAAUAAGCAUCGGCUAACUCCGUGCCAGCAGCCGCGGUAAUACGGAGGAUGCGAGCGUUAUCCGGAUUUAUUGGGUUUAAAGGGAGCGCAGACGGGUCGUUAAGUCAGCUGUGAAAGUUUGGGGCUCAACCUUAAAAUUGCAGUUGAUACUGGCGUCCUUGAGUGCGGUUGAGGUGUGCGGAAUUCGUGGUGUAGCGGUGAAAUGCUUAGAUAUCACGAAGAACUCCGAUUGCGAAGGCAGCACACUAAUCCGUAACUGACGUUCAUGCUCGAAAGUGUGGGUAUCAAACAGGAUUAGAUACCCUGGUAGUCCACACGGUAAACGAUGGAUACUCGCUGUUGGCGAUAUACUGUCAGCGGCUUAGCGAAAGCGUUAAGUAUCCCACCUGGGGAGUACGCCGGCAACGGUGCAACUCAA
RNAcentral lists this ribosomal RNA (910 nucleotides) under uncultured Bacteroidota bacterium. RNAcentral describes it as "bacterial SSU rRNA". It matches the Rfam family "Bacterial small subunit ribosomal RNA", at positions 1 to 904 of the family's 1533-position model. The record is from RNAcentral. Lineage: Bacteria; Pseudomonadati; Bacteroidota.